This 575-nucleotide ribosomal RNA is filed under the name uncultured bacterium. RNAcentral describes it as "partial 16S ribosomal RNA". It matches the Rfam family "Bacterial small subunit ribosomal RNA", at positions 355 to 919 of the family's 1533-position model. The record is from RNAcentral.
UGGGGAAUUUUGGACAAUGGGCGAAAGCCUGAUCCAGCAAUGCCGCGUGUGUGAAGAAGGCCUUCGGGUUGUAAAGCACUUUUGUCCGGAAAGAAAUCCUUGGCUCUAAUACAGUCGGGGGAUGACGGUACCGGAAGAAUAAGCACCGGCUAACUACGUGCCAGCAGCCGCGGUAAUACGUAGGGUGCAAGCGUUAAUCGGAAUUACUGGGCGUAAAGCGUGCGCAGGCGGUUUGCUAAGACCGAUGUGAAAUCCCCGGGCUCAACCUGGGAACUGCAUUGGUGACUGGCAGGCUAGAGUAUGGCAGAGGGGGGUAGAAUUCCACGUGUAGCAGUGAAAUGCGUAGAGAUGUGGAGGAAUACCGAUGGCGAAAGGCAGCCCCCUGGGCCAAUACUGACGCUCAUGCACGAAAGCGUGGGGGAGCAAACAGGAUUAGAUACCCUGGUAGUCCAGCGCCCUAAACGAUGUCAACUAGUUGUUGGGGACUUCAUUUCCUUAGUAACGUAGCUAACGCGUGAAGUUGACCGCCUGGGGAGUACGGUCGCAAGAUUAAAACUCAAAUGAAUUGACGGGGU